GAGCUCCUGCCAGUUCCCAUGGGAACUCUAUCAGGCUGUGAAAAACAUACCAGAAUUCUCAGAAAAGAAGGAAACAGUACGUAAAGUUCUCUCCAAGCUCUUGCUUACCCACGCCCACUCCCACUUCCUCACUAAGUCAGGCACCCAAGUCAGGGCCAACCCAGUCAAGGGCCAAAGAGCACCUAGGCUCAAAAAGACAAUCUUAAGAAGAAGGGCAAGCAAUAGACUUUAAACUUGUUAGACUGGCUUUGAAGGCAACAGGGCCUAAGCAAAAGAGAAUGCUGGCUGCUGUUUCUCAUAAAAAUUCACUCUCUAUUCCUCCCCACUUUCCCACAUGUUGCCUUUUCGGUUGCCCCUCUCUCUAGCUUUCAACCAACCUUAUCAAGACAGAGACUAGAACCAGUUUGUUGUGGUCGUCAUAUUAUAUACUGCUCGCUGUUCUUAAUUUUCCUAAGCCCUGACUCAGUAGUUUGCAAUUAUCGAUUGAGUUCUGAUGAUAUGCCAAACAUUGUACCUAAUGCUUAACAUAUAGUACCUCACUUAAUGCUCAUGACAGGUCUGUGUUAGGCAAUGUUACCCCAGAGAUUCAAACCCAUGUCUGUUUGGUUCCAAAGUCCAUAUGCUAAACCACUACAAAUAGCCAACAUUAAGAUAUUGAUUAAACAUUCACUUGAUAUUAAAUGACAAAAGUAUCUCAGGUAGAAGUCUAAGGACACAGGAAAACCAUCAAAGUGAAGGUUACAAAACAACAACACCAUGCCUAGAGUUUCACUGAAGCCAGGCUCAAAGUCUCUCAGGAUGAGGAAAUUAAAGAAAGCAGGCGACAAGGAAACCAGCUCCCUGGCUUAGAACUACAAUUCUUUAAGACCUUCUAGAUACAGGACAAAUCCAACAUCUUCUGUGAAGACUUGAUGGGGAUCAAACCAGAUUCCCGACGUCAGGGACUGCGAGCUGAACAAAAAGUAAGGUCAUAAAACCUCAUGGGGGAGAUGCCUUCCUAUAUUCGGGGGAAGGAAAAGAGCAUCCUUAUUUCCAAAGAAAAGACGACAUUGUGAAGAAUCAAAACCAACAGGCCUUGACACUUCCCUCGUAUUCUUUCACCCAUCAAAUUUCUACCAGGCAAUCCAUUCUUCACUGACCCAGCAUAAAAAUACUCAGGUCUGGGGGCGCCUGGGUGGCGCAGUCGGUUAAGCAUCCAACUUCAACCAGGUCACGAUCUCGCGGUCCGUGAGUUCGAGCCCCGCGUCAGGCUC
Molecule: long non-coding RNA, 1253 nt
Organism: Felis catus (domestic cat)
Lineage: Eukaryota; Metazoa; Chordata; Mammalia; Carnivora; Felidae
Exons: 4
Source: RefSeq, a predicted model, not a curated record